GUGAGGUAAAGGGGGCUGCAGAUCUCUGGCUUAUUAAUAAGGCUGACAAAAGGCGAAGAGGAAGCUACACUGCUGGGAUUUUGCAGGAAACCUCCAUAUCCUUUUCAAGUUCCAAAAUUCAAGGAAAUAACGUUAGUGUGCAUUUUGAUCUACACAAGCAUCCUCAGGAAAUUGCGGGUUAGUAUGGACUUUGAUGGCCAAUCAUCCGGGAAGCUUUUGCAGCAUAACAUUGUUGCUCUUGGUGUUUCUUCUGUGACAGAUUUUUAGUGUAUCCUCAAGUGGUUGAUCAAAACAAAAUUAACCCAAGAUUUUAGUUAUAGAAACUCUCUAUGGAAUUACCCAAAGGACGGGGAAUCUGCAGAUAGUGAACCAGAUGAUCCACUCUUUAAUCUCAAUUCAAAGAAAUCACUCAAUAGGUUGGUAACAUAUACUCUGAUUAUACCAAUCAAUGACAUGAAACUUCAUUGGCUAAUAGCGAAACAUCAUUUGGAC
Molecule: long non-coding RNA, 492 nt
Organism: Gossypium arboreum
Lineage: Eukaryota; Viridiplantae; Streptophyta; Magnoliopsida; Malvales; Malvaceae
Exons: 2
Source: RefSeq, a predicted model, not a curated record